This 103-nucleotide ribosomal RNA is filed under the name Yeosuana aromativorans. The record is from RNAcentral. Lineage: Bacteria; Pseudomonadati; Bacteroidota; Flavobacteriia; Flavobacteriales; Flavobacteriaceae.
GGUGGUUAUAGCGACGGGGCUCACCUCUUACCUUUCCGAACAGAGAAGUUAAGCCCGUUAGCGCCGAUGGUACUGCAUUUGUGGGAGAGUAGGUCGUUGCCUU